RNAcentral lists this long non-coding RNA (9329 nucleotides) under Populus trichocarpa (black cottonwood). RNAcentral describes it as "long non-coding RNA (PTRI_LNC004093)". The record is from RNAcentral. Lineage: Eukaryota; Viridiplantae; Streptophyta; Magnoliopsida; Malpighiales; Salicaceae.
AGAGUUCAACGCAGCAUUAAUAACAAAAUCAACUUCAUAAUAUAAUUGAAUUGUCUUAAUACAAGAGUUAAUAUAAAUUCGGAGUUUUGGAGCACUAACUAGACAUAAAGGAAAAUGUACAAAUUACAACCAAAAGAGCAGGUUCGGAAAGUCCAACAAAAGUGACCUGCUAUCAAGCUAUAAGCCUGAAAAGGAUAAAUAAUGAGAUGGUGAGUUCAACAACUCAGUGAGUAGAUAACGUUCAAUAUACACACACGAGGUAAUACAACAAUGAGAAAUAUAUAUACAAGUAUGGCUCUAGGUUCUUAUAGAAAGGUUUCUCAAAUAGGCCAUAACAAGAAUAUCAUAUGGUAAAACUAGUCAGAAAAUCAAAAUGCAAUGAGCAUGAGGCUCCGUACUGUGGGAUGAUCAGUCCACACAGGUUGGUGACUCCCCCGACCAACUAGGGUUCAGAUACGAUGUGCACAAAGACUAACACUACCCUGUUAGCAUGGGUAUUCUGACUGACAUACCAUAGGUUCAUAAUCAUAAUCAAACAGACAUAUUAAUAUCUCAAGGCUCAACUCAUGACAUCAAUCAAAUGAGGAGCUAUCAAUUCAGAAUUCAAUUCAAAAUAUAUACUGGUUCAUAUCAAGAAUUCAGAUUCAACAAUUGAUCAUGCUUUAUCAAAACAAGGAUAAUAAUCAACAUAUAUAUUAUCAAGAAGCAUGACUCAAUUCAUAUUAACAAAUCAAAUAUUUAUACUAUUUCUCAUGCAUAUGAAAAAUUAUCCACUCACCUGACUCAAAAGCAAACAGAAGCCAAAAGCAGACACCGAAGAAAAUCUUACUGACGUCCUAUCGGUAGAAUAUCAGGAUUAUCUGAAUACAAAGGAGACAUAUUCAAGAACGACUCAAAAUAACAUUUAACCUAUUUAAUAAACUUAACUAAUGAUGUAUUCCGUAACCCUAUAUGUUUUUGAACUAACUAGUCAAUUUUCUCAAAAACCCAAAAUUUAACGGUUUUCCCGAAAUCUAAUCCAUAAUAAAACAACUAAUAAAAUUGGCAAUAAUUCACUAAAUAACCCUUAAUUAUUCAUCAAACUAAUCUGAAAAGGCUAAUAUUACAGCUAGGGACCAAUCUGUAAUUUAUCAUAUUUUUAGGGCCAAAUUGUAAUUUUUGUCCAAUUGGAGGACCAAACUGAAAUUUAUCAUAAAUCCAUGAAUAUACUGAAAUUCUGACCAUAAUUAGUCCUCAUUUCUGUCCAGAUCAUCUCAUUAUACUCCAAGGACCAUUCUGGAAUUUUACCAAAUUUUUAGGGUUAAAUUGUAAUUUUUGUCAAAUUGAAGGACUAAAUUGAAAGUGUUAAAUUCUCUUAUCUAUACAGUAAUUCUGUCCAUAAUUCAUAUGUUAUUCUGUUCAGAAUCUCGGAAUAUGCUCCAGGGACCAAUCUGCAAAUUUUCCAAAGUUUGGGGACUAAACUGUAAUUUUCCAAAAUUGAGGGACCAAACCGAAAUUUUGUCAUCUUCAACCUCCAACCCAGAAUUUUUAACAGAAACCUACUGUUCUCUCCAAAUUCCUAACACAAUUUCACCAUUCAAACAAAAUCAUAACUCAAAAUCAUCAUCUUUCAAUUCAAUCUCUCAAAAUCAUCCAAAUAAUCAAAUACCCAUAACAAUUAACUCUAUAACAUUCAAAUUAACUCAUCAAUCAAACCCAAAACACAAAUUUCAUAACCCUAACAUUUAUCAAAAUCGAAAUUAAAGCUUAAUUAACAUAUAUUUAUACAUAAUCUUACCUUUUUACUUAUUUCCUCCAACUCCUUUCUAUUUCCUUUCUAAUUUCCCUCUUUUCUCUUCUUCUUCUUCUUUCUCCCUUUCUCUCCUGCCGGUUCUCUCUCAAAAUUCAGAUCUCUCUUUUGUUUUUUUUUUCUUCUAUUUAUAUAUAUUAUGUUUAUCUAAUUACCACACUAUCCCUCAUUUAAUUUAUUCCUACAUCUAAGCAUUCAAGGGCCUUGUUGCCAUUUCCUAUCUUUUAAUACAAAACAUUACAAUCUCCCCACCUUAUAAAAGUUUCGUCCUCGAAACUUAAUAGAAAAGAUUGAAUACUUACCGAGAUUAUUGAAAAGAUGAGGAUACUCCUCACGCAUCUUAUCCUCGAGCUCCCAUGUCGCUUCCUCACGUGAAUGACCUUUCCAUUGCACUUUCACUGAAGCUAUAUCUUUUGACCUAAGCUUCCUCACUUGUCGGUCGACUAUAGCUUCUGGUUGCACCUCAUAAACCAUAUCAUCCCUCAAUUCAAUGGGAUAGACCUCUAAUACAUGCGAUGGAUCUGACAUAUACUUCCUUAGCAUGGAAACAUGAAAUACCGGAUGAAUAGCGGACAAGUUUGGUGGUAAUGCUAACCUAUAAGCAACUGCCCCAACUCUCUCCAGAAUCUCAUACGGUCCAAUGAAUCGAGGACUCAACUUGCCUUUCUUCCCAAACCUGAAUACUCCUUUGGUCGGUGAUACUUUUAAGAACACACAAUCACCCACUGAAAACUCUAAGUCACGCCUUCUUCUAUCCGCGUAACUUUUCUGUCUACUCUGAGCUGUUUGAAGCUUCUGUCUAAUUACCUCUAUCUUCUCUGAGGUAAUCUGAAUCAACUCCGGUCCCAUUAGCCUCUUCUCACCAACCUCAAACCAACAAACCNNNNNNNNNNNNNNNNNNNNNNNNNNNNNNNNNNNNNNNNNNNNNNNNNNNNNNNNNNNNNNNNNNNNNNNNNNNNNNNNNNNNNNNNNNNNNNNNNNNNCAAAUUCCACUAAUGGUAGGAACUUCUCCACCACUCCAAAUCCAUAACACAAGCCCUUAGCAUAUCCUCCAAGAUCUGAAUAGUCCUCUCAGAUUGACCAUCUGUCUGAGGGUGAAAAGCUGUACUCAACUGCACUUUAGUACCCAUAGCUUCUUGGAAUUUCACCCAAAACCGCGAUGUAAACUGUGGACCUCUAUCAGACACUAUCGAGAUUGGCACUCCAUGCAACCGUACAAUCUCACUAAUAAAUAAUUCUGCCAACUUUGCAUAUCCAUAAGUAAUCCUAACUGGCAGAAAAUGGGCUGAUUUUGUCAACCUGUCAACAAUCACCCAUAUUGAAUCAUAACCCUCCUGACUCCUAGGCAAUCCUGUCACAAAGUCCAUUGUGAUCCUUUCCCACUUCCAUUCUGGAAUCAACAAUGGUUGCAACAAUCCAGGAGGUUUCUGGUGUUCACCCUUUACCCUCUGACAGGUCAAACACCUAGAAACAAAGUCUGCUACAUCAACCUUCAUCCUAUUCCACCAAUAACACACCUUAAGGUCUUUAUACAUCUUGGUGGAACCUGGAUGCAUUGUGUAAACUGUCUGAUGUGCCUCUACCAUCAAUUCUCUCCUCAGAUCAUCUACAUCAGGUACACAAAGCCUAUCCCUAUAUCUCAGCACAUCAUCAUCACCUAUCACAAAACCUGCAGCCUUACCCUGCUCAACCUCAUUUCUAAUCCUGAGUAGUGAAUCAUCUUUCUUCUGAGCUGCUUUUAUCUUAUCAAACAAAUCUGACUUAACCUGAAAAUGAGCAAUCAUUGCUCCAGCUUCACUAAGAUCAAAUCUGACUCCUUCAUCCACCAACUCAUGCAGCUCCCUAAUCAGAGGUCUUCGUACCUCCUGAAUAUGAGCUAAGCUCCCUGAUGAUUUUCUACUCAAAGCAUCGGCAACUACAUUUGCCUUACCCGGGUGGUAAUGUAUGGUACAAUCAUAAUUCUUCAGCAGUUCCAUCCAUCUCCUUUGCCUCAUGUUUAGAUCCCUCUGCUGAAAGAUGUACUUCAAACUCUUGUGAUCUGUGAAGAUCUCACAAGUUUCACCAUACAAGUAGUGCCUCCAAAUCUUCAAGGCAAAAAUUACAGCCGCCAUCUCUAAAUCAUGUGUAGGAUAGUUCUGUUCAUGCUUCUUCAGCUGCCGUGAAGCAUAGGCAAUAACCUUGCCAUGCUGCAUUAGAACACAUCCUAACCCCACUCUCGAAGCAUCACAAUACACUGUGUAACCACCAGAACCUGAUGGUACUGCUAGAACAGGCGCUGUAGUCAAUCUCUCUUUCAACUCUAAGAAACUUUUCUCACAAGCUUCAGACCACUGAAACUUAAUAUUUUUCUGCGUCAACUUAGUCAAUGGUGCAGAAAUCCGAGAAAAGUUCUCUACAAACCUCCGAUAAUAGCCGGCCAAACCUAAGAAACUUCUAAUCUCUGUUGCCGAAGUAGGCCUAAGCCACUGCUUAACUGCUUCAAUCUUUUGAGGAUCAACCUCAAUCCCAUUCCUUGACACUACAUGCCCAAGAAAUGCUACACUCUCCAACCAAAACUCACUCUUUGAGAACUUGCCAUACAGCUGAUGAUCUCGCAGAGUUUGAAGCACCAUUCUCAAGUGCUGCUCAUGCUACUCCCUAGACCUCGAAUACACCAAAAUAUCAUCAAUAAAAACUAUCACAAAUUGAUCAAUAAACUGGCCAAACACUCUAUUCAUCAAAUCCAUAAAAGCUGCUGGUGCAUUCGUCAACCCAAAAGACAUCACUAAGAACUCAUAAUGACCAUACCGAGUUCUAAAAGCUGUCUUCAAAAUGUCUGCCUCCCUAAUCCUCAACUGAUGAUACCCAGAUCGAAGAUCGAUCUUAGAAAAGAAUUGAGCUCCCUGCAACUGGUCAAACAAAUCAUCAAUGCGAGGGAGUGGGUAUCUAUUUCGAACAGUCACCCGAUUCAGUUGCCUAUAAUCUAUACAUAACCUCAAUGACCCAUCUUUCUUCUUCACAAACAACACUGGGGCUCCCCAAGGGGACACACUCGGUCGGAUGAACUUUUUAUCCAACAAAUCCUGCAGUUGCUCCUUUAGCUCCCUCAAUUCUGCUGGCGCCAUUCUAUAUGGUGCCAUUGAUAUUGGUUCGGUACCCGGAACCAAAUCAAUACAAAACUCAAUCUCCCUAUACGGAGGCAAUCCAGGUAAGUCAUCGGGAAAGACAUCAAUAAACUCCCUAACUAUAGGGACUUGGUCUAAUUGAGGAACUUCUUUCUCUACAUCCACUAUAUAUGCUAGGUAGCACUGUACCCCUUUUCUGGCCAUUUUCCUCGAGAUAGCCGACAACAUAAUUGAUGGAGACCCAAUCUUAUCUCCUUGAAAUACCAACCCAACUUCUUCAUCUAGAUCAAAUAUUAUUUUCUUACCCCAACAAUUUACCGAAGCCCUGUGCUUUGCCAACCAAUCCAUUCCCAAAAUCACAUCAAAAUCAACCAUAUCUAAGACAUUUAAGUCUCCCAUAAAAAUCUUAUCUCCAAUCUCUAUUUCACAAUCCAGAUACACAUACUUCACUAAUAUUAAUUCAUCUAAGGGAGUGGAAACUGAAAUGGGGGAUUUUAACAAGGUUGGUUGUUUAUCUAACCUCAUGGCAAAAUAUGAAGACAUAAAUGAAUGGGUUGCACCCGUAUCAAACAACACUUUUGCUUCAAAAGAGCAAACAGGAAGAAUACCUGAAACAACUGUGUUGGAUGCCUGAGCAUCCUGCUGAGUCAAGGCAAAAACUCUAGCAUGCCCCUGACCCUGCUGUAUCUGACCUCUAUCACCUGCACCCCGGCCUCUCUGACCACGGCCACCAAAACCUCUACCCCCAUGAGCCACAGACUGGCUCGUCGAUGGUGCCUGAAUAGGAUGUUGGACUGAAGCAGAUAACCCCGAAGCUGACAACUGUCUCCUCGGGCACUCUCUGAUCUUAUGACCUAUCUGGCCACAACUAAAACAAGCCCCGGUCCUUCUGUAGCACUCUGCACUAGUAUGACUUCCUCCACAGUGCUGACAUGAAGAACUAUCACUAGGUGUAAUAAAUGAACUACGAGGUGCAGUCUGAACUAAACUCUGAGUACCACUACUGCCACUCUGACCGCCUGAGCCACUAACUGACGGUCUCUGUCUAAACCUCCUCUGAACCCAUGAGCCCUGACGGCCACUUCGUCCCCUAGACGGACCUGCACUUAAUCCCUGUUGCCUAAAAGACUGACCCUCUUCUCUAGGCCUCUUAGACUGGCCUGCAGUCAUAUCCUCCAAUUCUCGCGCCUCUAUCAAUCUGGCACUAUCAACAGCUGAGGAGUAUGAUGGAAACACCUGUGACACCAUCACCAUAUACAUAGAGGAUUUGAGUCCUCUAAUAAACCUCUUCACCCUCCACUCCUCAGUGGGUAGAAGAUGCUCUGCAUACCUAGACAGCUGAGUAAACUUCAGAUCAUACUCAUCCACUGUCAUGCUCCCCUGAGAUAGCCUCUCAAACUCAUAAAGUCGAGCAUCCCUGACGCUCUGAGGGAGAAACCUGUCUAAGAACAUGGAGCUAAACUCCUUCCAUGUCCACUGAGCCUCUACUGGUCUUGCUCUUUUCCUAGACUCAAACCAAGAGAUUGCCACAUCUCCUUCCAACCUGAACGAUGCCAAACUCACAGCUCGGUGGUCUGUACAUCCCAAAGCUUCACACCGUCGCCAAAUAUCAUCUAGGAACCUCUGAGGAUCCUCUGAACUAUCCAUCCCAGUAAAAAUAGGAGGUGCCAACUUCAUGAAGUCAUUCAACGGCACAUUAACUCCCUGAACAGUGUGGGAUGUCGAGGGUACAUCUCUAUCCCUCCUUCUAUCUCUCUCCAUAGAAAAUUCUAUCCAGGUCCGCACAACCUGGCUAAGUUGCUAAAACUCUGUAACAGGUUCAGGGUCAGCUACCCCCACACCUGUUUCAUCAACAAUAUCUUCCUCUUCUAUCUCCUGAGGCUCUUCCUCCACUGGUGGAGGUACCUCCUCAACAUGUUGAGGCACGGGUGCACCGCGCCUCCUUCUCUGCCUUGCAGUUCUCAACCGCCCAAUAGGGACAUCAUCCUGAUCAUCCUCUACUCUAACAGUAUCAGCUAUUCGUCUAUUCCUCGGCAUUUCCUAAAAUAAAAGUGAGAGCACUCAAGUCAUGCUAGAACAAUAGCAUGAUAAUUAUCAUAGAAUUAUAGGAAAGCAUAUCUAUCACAAGGAAGAAGACAUGCUUAAUGAGAAUUCGGAAUUUCAAAGGCAACAAACAAGACAACACGGAUCCUAAUGCUCCACUUAUUACGAAUUUAAUUAUAUUAUUGUUUCUUUAACCUAAAGCUCUGAUACCAAGUUUGUCACGACCCGAAUCCCGGAUUCAUGACCGGCACAUAGGCAAGGUUCCCCUCCAAGGUUCCAUACCUAUGCGAACCCAAACUUACACACAAACUUAUCCUAACUCAAUCAGAGUUCAACGCAGCAUUAAUAACAAAAUCAACUUCAUAAUAUAAUUGAAUUGUCUUAAUACAAGAGUUAAUAUAAAUUCGGAGUUUUGGAGCACUAACUAGACAUAAAGGAAAAUGUACAAAUUACAACCAAAAGAGCAGGUUCGGAAAGUCCAACAAAAGUGACCUGCUAUCAAGCUAUAAGCCUGAAAAGGAUAAAUAAUGAGAUGGUGAGUUCAACAACUCAGUGAGUAGAUAACGUUCAAUAUACACACACGAGGUAAUACAACAAUGAGAAAUAUAUAUACAAGUAUGGCUCUAGGUUCUUAUAGAAAGGUUUCUCAAAUAGGCCAUAACAAGAAUAUCAUAUGGUAAAACUAGUCAGAAAAUCAAAAUGCAAUGAGCAUGAGGCUCCGUACUGUGGGAUGAUCAGUCCACACAGGUUGGUGACUCCCCCGACCAACUAGGGUUCAGAUACGAUGUGCACAAAGACUAACACUACCCUGUUAGCAUGGGUAUUCUGACUGACAUACCAUAGGUUCAUAAUCAUAAUCAAACAGACAUAUUCAUAUCUCAAAGCUCAACUCAUGACAUCAAUCAAAUGAGGAGCUAUCAAUUCAGAAUUCAAUUCAAAAUAUAUACUGGUUCAUAUCAAGAAUUCGGAUUCAACAAUUGAUCAUGCUUUAUCAAAACAAGGAUAAUAAUCAACAUAUAUAUUAUCAAGAAGCAUGAUUCAAUUCAUAUUAACAAAUCAAAUAUUUAUACUAUUUCUCAUGCAUAUGGAAAAUUAUCCACUCACCUGACUCAAAAGCAAACAGAAGCCAAAAGCAGACACCGAAGAAAAUCCUACUGAUGUCCUGUCGGUAGAAUAUCAGGAUUAUCUGAAUACAAAGGAGACAUAUUCAAGAACGACUCAAAAGAACAUUUAACCUAUUUAAUAAACUUAACUAAUGAUGUAUUCCGUAACCCUAUAUGUUUUUGAACUAACUAGUCAAUUUUCUCAAAAACCCAAAAUUUAACGGUUUUCCCGAAAUCUAAUCCAUAAAUAAACAACUAAUAAAAUUGGCAAUAAUUCACUAAAUAACCCUUAAUUAUUCAUCAAACUAAUCUGAAAAGGCUAAUAUUACAGCUAGGGACCAAUCUGUAAUUUAUCAUAUUUUUAGGGCCAAAUUGUAAUUUUUGUCUAAUUGGAGGACCAAACUGAAAUUUAUCAUAAAUCCAUGAAUAUACUGAAAUUCUGACCAUAAUUAGUCCUCAUUUCUGUCCAGAUCAUCUCAUUAUACUCCAAGGACCAUUCUGGAAUUUUACCAAAUUUUUUUAGGGUCAAAUUGUAAUUUUGUCAAAUUGGAGGACUAAAUUGAAAGUGUUAAAUUCUCUUAUCUAUACAGUAAUUCUGUCCAUAAUUCAUAUGUUAUUCUGUUCAGAAUCUCGGAAUAGGCUCCAGGGACCAAUCUGCAAAUUUUCCAAAGUUUGGGGACUAAACUGUAAUUUUCCAAAAUUGAGGGACCAAACCGAAAUUUUGUCAUCUUCAACCUCCAACCCAGAAUUCCAACAGAAAACCCACUGUUCUUUCCUUAUUUCUAACACAAAUUCACCAUUCAAACAAAAUCAUAACUCAAAAUCAUCAUCUUUCAAUUCAAUCUCUCAAAAUCAUCCAAAUAAUCAAAUACCCACAACAAUUAACUCUAUAAUAUUCAAAUUAAAUCAUCAAUCAAACCCAAAACACAAAUUUCAUAACCCUAACAUUUAUCAAAAUCGAAAUUAAAGCUUAAUAAUACAAAUUUAUACAUUUAACAACCUAAAUCUUACCUUUAAACUUAUUCCCUUCAAUUCUUUUCUAUUUUCCCUAUUUUCCCCUCUUUUCUCUUCUUCUUCUUUCUCCCUUCUCUCCUGCCGAUUCUCUCUCAAAUAUUCAGAUCUCUUCUUCUUUUUUUUUUUUCUUUCUAUUUAUAUAUAUCAUCUCUUAUACAAUUACUACAAUACCCCUCAUUUAAUUUAUUCCUACAUCUAAGCAUUCAAGGACUUUAUUGUAUUUUCCUACUCAUUUAUUCAAAACAUCACAUAAGCUCUCUCACCUGCAAGUCUUUG